RNAcentral lists this long non-coding RNA (3125 nucleotides) under Lactuca sativa (garden lettuce). Its description in RNAcentral is "long non-coding RNA (LSAT_LNC000627)". The record is from RNAcentral. Lineage: Eukaryota; Viridiplantae; Streptophyta; Magnoliopsida; Asterales; Asteraceae.
CCCUUGAAAUGCUAUGAACACCUAACUGGUACCGAUCUGAUUCUACUUGACUGACAACAGAUCAAGAAAGUGUGAGUGACAGGCGAACAACAUAUAUAAACUUCAAAACAACAAAAAAAGGACUAAAAAGCUUCAAAACACAUGAUUCAGAAUGAUAACUUACAUGUUUUUUCUUACAAAAUAUUGCGGAUCUUUGCUAGUUUUUGGAUCUGUGUGCAUGAUAGAGAAAAGUGUGCAUAAAAGUCUUGGUGAUUUGCAUGACCCAAAAAUACGCAGAUCAAUAACUUUAGCAAAACAAUGCAUGAUUUUCAGAUAUGCAUAUCCUCCUAAGCCAGUAGUUGAAUAUUUUGAUGUGUGGAUCCUGGAUCUAGAUUUAGUGGAUUAUGACAGCGGCUGUGGAUCCUGAACAUCGAAUAUAUAGUAAGAAAAGUGUGGGCGUCAACCCUAACCCUGAUCUUUAGCGAUGGUGAUUUGCAUCAACCUCCCCUAAAAUUGUACAUUUUUUCACAUACAGCCCAACCAUUACCCAAAAUGACAAUUUUGUGGCUUGAUGAAUAAAGUGUAUUUGAUUUUUCAUUUGUAGUCUUUUUUUAUGAGCUCUUAUUUGUAAAUGACCGUAGUAGACUAGUAGUCCUUACUAUACGUAACUAUUUUUUUAACUGCUCUUAUUUGUAAAUGGCCAUAGUAUCUUUAUUUAUAUUUUUUUUCAAAAACACUUGUUACAUUUUUCAUUCUUUUUUAAGUGAGAAUAUCUUCUAUAAUUUGACAUUGUGACUAUUCCAAGUUGAGUACACCAUAUUCAGCCUUUCAACAUGAAAGGUUGUAAUUAGUAUAAACUUAAUGUAAUGUUUGGUGAUAAAAUUAAUGGUUUUUAAAAUUAUUAUUGUGUUUAAUGAAAUCAUAAUAAUCAUAUAUACUGACAAUUAUGUUUAUUUUAAAAUUUAAUUACGUGAAGAAACUGAUGCAAAUAAUGUACGUAAGGCAAAAUUGUACAUAUAUUUAUCGUUUUAUGUUCCCUCGAGUUAACAUCAAUAAGCCUAAGAAAGCUCAACUAAAAAGAUUUGAUUUUGUGAAUGUUCCGUCGGAAAGUUUGUUUGGAUGAUUUUUGGAUUAGUCACACCCGGUGUUUUGAAAUUUGCACAUUGUGCUAUAUUUAUUGUGACUUUGCAUUUAAUUUAAAGUAUAUUUGGAUUCCUUUUUUUGUUUCAACGCAAUGUUUAUUAUAGAACAUGUUAACGACAGUUGAACGAAUUUUGAUAUGCAUGCAAGAAACAUAAUACAUGCACAAACAUCCAAUGAACGAUUUACUCUCAAGUAUCAAGUUUGAUGGUAAAUAUGCAUUGAUGGUCGAUCAUUAAUUGCUAGAAGAACAUGGUAUAUGUUAUUUAUCAAAAUAUAUUUGUAAAAUUGGUCUAAGUUUGAAAAAUAAUGUUGGAUUUAACGACCUUACCAAAAUUAGCUAUAGGUAACGUCAUAAUUGUGUCAAGCAUCUCUUACAUGGUAUUGCUCCAUGAGUAAUGCCAAGAAACCCUAGCCUCCUCAUCGAUACUAUAUACUCCACCGCUAACGUUCUAUAUCCCUCAAUAAACAAGAAGAGGGAAACAAAAUAAGUUGCAUUUAUGUCAUUUUUCAACAUCUUACUUUAGUAUAAUGCUACUUAAUAUAAUUACAUAUACUACACUUUAUAUUGAAAAAAAAAAGCAAUGUAUUUUUUCUGUUGCCUCAUAAACGUUGAAAUUAUGGGUGAUUUAGAAAAAAAAAAUAGCAUCUUCUUAAGGUAAGGGUAUUUUAGGUAAUUGGAUUGUUUCAUUUUCUGACGCACAGUACAUAUAAUAUAUAAAGUACAUGUAUAGAAACAAAGUUGAUCCCACCUAUAGGCCAAGGGUGUCCAUGGACACCCCUUAUUUUUGGAUUUUUUUUAGAAGUUAUAUAAUAAAUUUUAUACGGACACCCAGUUUUCUAAAAGGCGCGCCAUGGCGUGACGCGUGGCUCCGCCGUUACGAAAAGCAUCAUAACGUUGCUGUUAGGCGUGGCGCAUGGCAAGGUGUGAUAUGGUGCGCCAUGGCGCGUUAUGGCGUGUUAUGGCGCGUGUUUUUUCGUUUGAUACAUAGUUUUUUUUCUCUUUGUUAUGUCUUUUCUAAUCGGAGAUACAAGUAUUAUGGUUUUUGUUAAAAUUUUGUUACUAGUUAUUGAUCUAACACUUCUAAAAAGUAGUUAUAUUUAAUAUAAAUUUAUAUUUAUGUGGUAAUAUAAUUUUAAAUUAAUACAAAAUCGCCGCCUUACAUCACGCCUUGAAAAACACCAUGGCUCGCCAUGGCUCUUUAAGCUUGAGGCUUGACCUUACAGCCACGUCACGCCUCACGCCAUUUAGAACCUUGCGGAUACCUAUUAAAAUUAGUUUAAUGGCUAAUAUAUAUAUAUAUAUAUAUACAGAUUUAUUUGGAUCAUAGUAUAUACUUAUAGGAAAGAAAAUCGUAUUUAUAAAUAUCAUAUUAUAUAUUUGAUUUCUCAAACUUGUUAAAUAUAAGAAAUCAAAAAAAUAUUCUUAUAAACCAGUUAAAUAGAAAAAUUAACAAAGAACUUUGAGGAAUAAAAGAUAAAAAGACUGAAAAUACAUAAAUCAUCAAAAAAAAUUACAUCAGCUUUACUCAUUGUCACCGUCCUCUACCGCUCUUAAGCCCAUCGACAUUGUUUGUUGAGCAACGACACAAUCAUCUACCACUCUCCGAUGACUGAAAAGGUUGAACUUCAUUUUCCGAUCUCCACAUAUGUCUCAAACUCUCCAUUUUUUUGUGAGUCUAUGUUCAACCUGUUGGAUUAGGUGUCUAAGCUCAUAACUAUAAUUGGUAUAAAGUUAAAAUGAUAGUAGUACAAUCCUUUUAGGUUGCCCCCGAAACAAGCAAUUGGACAGGAUUUCUUGGAGAGAGAGAAUAAAUUAUUUUUUGAUUAAUAAAUUGAAAUAGAUAAUUUAAUAAUAUAAUAUGAUAAUAUUAUAUUAAUUACAAAUUAUGAUAUUUGAUUAACAAUUAACCAGAAAUUAACUAGAAUUAAUUUUGGGGUUAAUUGGAAAAAUCUAUAGUGCAGGGGUUGUUUGACUAUUUAUUGAUAGUUGAGGAAAAGUCUCG